Molecule: ribosomal RNA, 1027 nt
Filed under: Proteus mirabilis
Lineage: Bacteria; Pseudomonadati; Pseudomonadota; Gammaproteobacteria; Enterobacterales; Morganellaceae
Description: partial 23S ribosomal RNA
Rfam family: Bacterial large subunit ribosomal RNA
Source: RNAcentral
CAGUCGAAGAUACCAGCUGGCUGCAACUGUUUAUUAAAAACACAGCACUGUGCAAACACGAAAGUGGACGUAUACGGUGUGACGCCUGCCCGGUGCUGGAAGGUUAAUUGAUGGGGUCAGCCGUAAGGCGAAGCUCCUGAUCGAAGCCCCAGUAAACGGCGGCCGUAACUAUAACGGUCCUAAGGUAGCGAAAUUCCUUGUCGGGUAAGUUCCGACCUGCACGAAUGGCGUAAUGAUGGCCAGGCUGUCUCCACCCGAGACUCAGUGAAAUUGAACUCGCUGUGAAGAUGCAGUGUACCCGCGGCAAGACGGAAAGACCCCGUGAACCUUUACUAUAGCUUGACACUGAACAUUGAGCCUUGAUGUGUAGGAUAGGUGGGAGGCUUUGAAGUGUGGACGCCAGUCUGCAUGGAGCCAACCUUGAAAUACCACCCUUUAACGUUUGAUGUUCUAACCUAGGCCCAUAAACUGGGUCGGGGACCGUGUCUGGUGGGUAGUUUGACUGGGGCGGUCUCCUCCUAAAGAGUAACGGAGGAGCACGAAGGUUGGCUAAGCAUGGUCGGACAUCAUGCGGUUAGUGCAAAGGCAUAAGCCAGCUUGACUGCGAGAGUGACGGCUCGAGCAGGUACGAAAGUAGGUCUUAGUGAUCCGGUGGUUCUGAAUGGAAGGGCCAUCGCUCAACGGAUAAAAGGUACUCCGGGGAUAACAGGCUGAUACCGCCCAAGAGUUCAUAUCGACGGCGGUGUUUGGCACCUCGAUGUCGGCUCAUCACAUCCUGGGGCUGAAGUAGGUCCCAAGGGUAUGGCUGUUCGCCAUUUAAAGUGGUACGCGAGCUGGGUUUAGAACGUCGUGAGACAGUUCGGUCCCUAUCUGCCGUGGGCGUUGGAAGAUUGAGAGGGGUUGCUCCUAGUACGAGAGGACCGGAGUGAACGCACCACUGGUGUUCGGGUUGUCAUGCCAAUGGCAUUGCCCGGUAGCUAAGUGCGGAAGAGAUAACCGCUGAAAGCAUCUAAGCGGGAAACUUGCC